Molecule: ribosomal RNA, 1589 nt
Filed under: Salmonella enterica subsp. enterica serovar Hartford
Lineage: Bacteria; Pseudomonadati; Pseudomonadota; Gammaproteobacteria; Enterobacterales; Enterobacteriaceae
Description: bacterial LSU rRNA
Rfam family: Bacterial large subunit ribosomal RNA
Source: RNAcentral
GAAGGUGGCCUGUGAGGGUUGCUGGAGGUAUCAGAAGUGCGAAUGCUGACAUAAGUAACGAUAAAGCGGGUGAAAAGCCCGCUCGCCGGAAGACCAAGGGUUCCUGUCCAACGUUAAUCGGGGCAGGGUGAGUCGACCCCUAAGGCGAGGCCGAAAGGCGUAGUCGAUGGGAAACGGGUUAAUAUUCCCGUACUUGGUGUUACUGCGAAGGGGGGACGGAGAAGGCUAUGUUGGCCGGGCGACGGUUGUCCCGGUUUAAGCGUGUAGGUGUGUGUUCCAGGUAAAUCCGGUUCACUUUAACACUGAGGCGUGACGACGAGGCACUACGGUGCUGAAGCAACAAAUGCCCUGCUUCCAGGAAAAGCCUCUAAGCAUCAGGUAACACGAAAUCGUACCCCAAACCGACACAGGUGGUCAGGUAGAGAAUACCAAGGCGCUUGAGAGAACUCGGGUGAAGGAACUAGGCAAAAUGGUGCCGUAACUUCGGGAGAAGGCACGCUGACACGUAGGUGAAGUGAUUUACUCAUGGAGCUGAAGUCAGUCGAAGAUACCAGCUGGCUGCAACUGUUUAUUAAAAACACAGCACUGUGCAAACACGAAAGUGGACGUAUACGGUGUGACGCCUGCCCGGUGCCGGAAGGUUAAUUGAUGGGGUCAGCGCAAGCGAAGCUCCUGAUCGAAGCCCCGGUAAACGGCGGCCGUAACUAUAACGGUCCUAAGGUAGCGAAAUUCCUUGUCGGGUAAGUUCCGACCUGCACGAAUGGCGUAAUGAUGGCCAGGCUGUCUCCACCCGAGACUCAGUGAAAUUGAACUCGCUGUGAAGAUGCAGUGUACCCGCGGCAAGACGGAAAGACCCCGUGAACCUUUACUAUAGCUUGACACUGAACAUUGAGCCUUGAUGUGUAGGAUAGGUGGGAGGCUUUGAAGCGUGGACGCCAGUCUGCGUGGAGCCGACCUUGAAAUACCACCCUUUAAUGUUUGAUGUUCUAACGUGGACCCGUGAUCCGGGUUGCGGACAGUGUCUGGUGGGUAGUUUGACUGGGGCGGUCUCCUCCUAAAGAGUAACGGAGGAGCACGAAGGUUGGCUAAUCCUGGUCGGACAUCAGGAGGUUAGUGCAAUGGCAUAAGCCAGCUUGACUGCGAGCGUGACGGCGCGAGCAGGUGCGAAAGCAGGUCAUAGUGAUCCGGUGGUUCUGAAUGGAAGGGCCAUCGCUCAACGGAUAAAAGGUACUCCGGGGAUAACAGGCUGAUACCGCCCAAGAGUUCAUAUCGACGGCGGUGUUUGGCACCUCGAUGUCGGCUCAUCACAUCCUGGGGCUGAAGUAGGUCCCAAGGGUAUGGCUGUUCGCCAUUUAAAGUGGUACGCGAGCUGGGUUUAGAACGUCGUGAGACAGUUCGGUCCCUAUCUGCCGUGGGCGCUGGAGAACUGAGGGGGGCUGCUCCUAGUACGAGAGGACCGGAGUGGACGCAUCACUGGUGUUCGGGUUGUCAUGCCAAUGGCACUGCCCGGUAGCUAAAUGCGGAAGAGAUAAGUGCUGAAAGCAUCUAAGCACGAAACUUGCCCCGAGAUGAGUUCUCCCUGAGACUUA